Zalophus californianus (California sea lion) is the source of this 3510-nucleotide RNA transcript. It is a transcript of the gene named RP9 pre-mRNA splicing factor, with no coding region annotated. The transcript is spliced from 7 exons. The record is from RefSeq and is a predicted model, not a curated record. Lineage: Eukaryota; Metazoa; Chordata; Mammalia; Carnivora; Otariidae.
GGGAGGCCUGGCGGGAGGCGGGGACCAGGAGGCCUCGGCGGGGACAGCGGGCCGGGCCUGGCCCGGGCGGGCGGCGGGAGGGGGCGCUGCGGGGCCGACCGGCCGCGGCGCGGAGGAAGUGCAGUCUUCCCGCCGCCUCAGCCGCCUCAGGCACGCCGCGGGGGCCGCCUCAGCCGCGCGGGCCGCGAUGUCUUCCCGGCCCGGACGCGACGACGCGGGGGCCGGGGGCGUGCGGCGGCCGCGGGAGCCGGCCGAGCAGGAGCUGCAGCGGCGCCGGGAGCAGAAGCGGCGGCGGCACGACGCGCAGCAGCUGCAGCAGCUCAAGCACCUGGAGUCCUUUUAUGAAAAACCUCCUCCUGGGCUUAUCAAGGAAGAUGAGACUAAGCCAGAAGACUGUAUACCAGAUGUACCAGGCAACGAACAUGCCAGGGAAUUUCUGGCUCACGCACCAACGAAAGGACUCUGGAUGCCACUGGGGAAAGAAGUCAAAGUUAUGCAGUGUUGGCGUUGUAAACGGUAUGGUCACCGAACAGGCGACAAAGAAUGCCCUUUCUUUAUCAAAGGCAACCAAAAGUUAGAACAGUUCAGAGUAGCACAUGAAGAUCCCAUGUAUGACAUCAUACGAGAGAAUAAAAGACAUGAAAAGGAUGUAAGGAUACAGCAGUUGAAACAGUUACUGGAGGAUUCUACAUCUGAUGAGGAUGGAAGUAGCUCCAGUUCCUCGGAAUGUAAAGAGAAACACAAGAAAAAGAAGAAGAAAGAAAAGCAUAAGAAAAGGAAGAAAGAAAAGAAGAAGAAGAAGAAACGAAAGCAUAAGUCUUCCAAGUCGAAUGAGAGUUCAGACUCGGACUGACAACAACUUGACUUGUUCAACAUUCUCUUCUCCCUAAUCAGACACUGUGGCCAAAGACCAGAGGAUGUGGAAUCGGGGAGGACUAGGAGAGAGCCGCCUAGAGAGCAGGGUAUUUGGUGUCACGUGUGUGAAUUCUCACCUGCCUUCCAGCAAAGAUGUGACCCCAGGAGGGCCAAUCUCCACCUGUGCCCUGGACCCCAACUCUCAGCCAGCAGUGGAGGGCAGGGAUUAAGAGCACUGGCUCUGGAGGAUCCACACUGCCUGGUUUUGAAAUCCAGCUGCACCAUUCGUGAGCUAUCAGACUGUGCAAGUUGCCUGACCUCUCUGUGCUGCCAUUUCCUUGACAGAUAAUAUUUACCUCCUAGAAUCAUCAAGAAUUAAGUGACUUGAUAGUUGUAAAACAUCUAGAACACAGUUUGGAACAUUUCAAUUGCUAAAUGAAUGUUAGUUGCUCCUGCAUACUUAUGCUAUCAUCAUUAUCUGUUCCUGCUUCCUCAGGGAUCUUCCUCCUUUCAUUAUCCCACUGCACUCUCUGUUGCCACUGGCAUUUAAAAACUGUUUUGAAAUUAUAACAGUAGGGGCACCUGGCUGGCUGAGUCAGUAGAACAUGCAACUCUUGAUCCCAGGGUUGUGAGUUCAAGCCCCAUGCUGGGCGUGGAGACUUCUUAAAAAAAAAUUUUGUUUCAGUAAAAUUUUAAAAGUAAUACAUGAUCAUAAAAAGUUCCCAAUUCAGAACCAUUACAGAGUAAAAAGUGAAAGGAAAAUCUACUUUAAAUGGUUUUAAAGAGCCUUCAAGAUCUUUUAAAAAAUACAUUACCAGUUUUUUAGUUUGACAUAACUGAAAAACACUAUGAAUACUAUUCUAUGACUUCAUCUCACUCUAUCUUGGCAGUCUCACUGCUUACUAACAAGCUUUAAAUGGCCACAAAAUCCUUGGUGGGAAUGUGCUACUUACCCAUUUAACCAUUCUUCUUUGUGCAAUUCAGUUGUUUCUUAUUUAUCCUUCUGUGGAAUGGUGAUUUAUGAGAAAUAUGUAUUUGGUUGUUGUCAAAGGGAGAAUGUUCUCUGCCCUUCAAGGUCCUUCUAACUGGACUAAGAAUCAAACUGACAUGAAACAGAAUAACAAGAGAAAAUCAAAGUUUCCUACAUAUGAAAUUCCAAAGACAGUGAAGCCAUAAGACGCUUAUAUGAGCUAAGGACAGGAGUAGGGGACUGAGCAAGACAUUACCAGGGAGAGGAGAGAUGCUUGGAAAACAAAGGCUGCCCUAUCACACAAAUAAGUAUCUUAGAUAAAGAGGAAUCUGUUAAUAGUGCUCUUCCUGGUACAGGCAGGAAGUUGAGGGGGAGAUAAAGAGCUUUUCCUGAAUCGGCUGGGUUUUGAUUGCUUUUAACUCAAUUCAUGUCAAAGUGACCCAUUUGAAGCAGCCUGCCCUUGGUCCCGUACAUGGUCAUUCAGAUGACCAAAAUAUAUUUCUCAUAUACGUUUGGUCUUUAUCUACAGUUUCUGGAUCACAUCUCCCCAAAACACUUGGAAUUUCAUGACUGAGGAGAGCAAUGGGAGAAUUUUUUCUUUUUUUUUUUUUUUUUUUUAGUAUUUGGUCUCCUGUUCCCGGUUCCUGAAGUCACUUCAGAGCCAUAAAGGCAAAAUGAGUGUUUUGUUACUCAUAACAAGCCCCUUUCCACCACAACUGGGUUUAUGUUAAUGAGGUGAAUUUUGGAAAACACCUAAGGAUAUAUAGCAUCAUCAGGAACUUUCAGUCCCACACCCCUGAUUUCAGGGGAGAGUAAAAGGGCCAGAGAGUGAAUGAAUCACCAAUAGGCAAUCAUGCCCAUGUAAUAUGGAGCCUCUAGUAUAUUUGAGAGCUUCCAGAAGGGUGAACACACGGAAGUCCUGGAAGAGUGGCGAACCAGGACAGGGCAUAGAAGCUCCUCACCCUCCCCACAUACAAGCAUCUGUUAUGCCUGGCUGUUCCUCAGUUACAUCCUUUUAUAAUAAGCCAAUAAUCUAGUAAGUAAAAUGUUUGUGUGUGUUCUCUGAGCUGCUCUAAGCAAAUUAAUCGAACCCAAAGCAGGGGGCAUUGGAACAUUCAAUCUAGUCUAUCAGAAUCAUAAGUGAUAACCUGGGCUUUUGAGUGGCAUUUGAAGAGGGGUGGGGCAAUCCUGUAGGACUGAGCCCCUUACCUGUGGAAUUUGAUACUCUCUCCAGGUAUUUAAUAUCAGAAUUAAGUUAAAUUAUAGGACACCCUGCUGGCAUCCUGAGAAUUCCCACACACACAUUGGAAUUGGUUCCAAAAUCUUUCAUCUUCCCACAAACACUAAUGAAAACCUAUGAGUAUAUAUCUUUGUGUACAUAUGUGCAUAUUUCAAAAGAAUAGCUCUUUAAUAGUGGAAUUACAUAUUUUAAUUUUCACAUACUACCAGAUUGCCCUCCAAGAAAGUCUGUAUCAAUUUUCACAACCUCUUACCUUGUUUAAAGGGGUCCAUUUCCCUGCCCAAGAGCAACUAAUAACUUCAAGGUUCUUUCAUCUCUUUAAAACAAAAAAAAAUCCUCCCUUGAUCCCAUAUCUGUCUAGCUCUUUCCUCUCCUUUAUAGCAGGAAUUUUGUUUUGUUUUGGGUUUUUUUUUUUUAAGAUUUAUUUUGGUGCGGGGAAUGAGUC